Molecule: ribosomal RNA, 744 nt
Filed under: Triticum aestivum (bread wheat)
Lineage: Eukaryota; Viridiplantae; Streptophyta; Magnoliopsida; Poales; Poaceae
Description: partial small subunit ribosomal RNA
Source: RNAcentral
AUGAUGCGGUGUGGCUAUGGCACGGUUGAAGUUCAGUACAUUUUUGUUGCUUUUUCAUAUUUCGCGGGUCGUGUGCUCUCCCCCAACGCGUCGUGCAGUUCGCCGGUCCACAUCAUGUGGUUCACGGGCCGCGUGAUUGCAGUGCAGUUGACCCCUCAUUACCAUAUAACUGGAAUUAACCGAUGCAACUCCAAGAAGGAUUGGCCGGUGCUGCCGGUUGGUGUCAAGUUCGAUCCCACGGAUCAGGAGCUGAUCGAGCACCUUGAGGCCAAAGUGAGUGCUGACAGCGCGAGAUCUCACCCUCUCAUCGAUUUGUUCAUACCAACCAACGACAGCGAGCACGGCAUAUGCUACACCCAUCCUGAGAAACUUCCAGGUAUCACACUGAGUGGCCUAAGCAAGCAUUUCUUCCAGCGCAAUUCCAGGGCGUUCAAAAGGGGCACGUGGACGCGUAGCAAGAUACAGUCGGAGUGUGGCAUGCACGCGAUGUGGCACAAGACUGGCAAUACCUUGCCGGUGAUGGUCAAUGGCCGGCAGACGGGCAGCAAAAAGGUUCUGGUGCUGGACACCAACAAGAACUUCGACCAUUCCCGCAAAAAAAAAUUCGACCAGCAGAGGACCAACUGGGUGAUGCACCAGUACCACCUCGGGGACCUAGAGCAAGAGAACAAGCGGGAGCUGUUCUUCUGCAAGAUUUUCUACCAGACGAACACUAGGGCCAGGACUAAAAAGAUUAUAAGUUAG